UACGUAGGGGGCAAGCGUUGUCCGGAUUUAUUGGGCGUAAAGAGCGUGUAGGCGGCCAAACAGGUCAGCUGUGAAAACUCGAGGCUCAACCUCGAGACGUCGGUUGAAACCGUUUGGCUAGAGUCCGGAAGAGGAGAGUGGAAUUCCUGGUGUAGCGGUGAAAUGCGCAGAUAUCAGGAGGAACACCGGUGGCGAAGGCGGAUCUCUGGGCCUUACCUGACGCUCAGGUGCGAAAGCUAGGGGAGCGAACAGG
Molecule: ribosomal RNA, 253 nt
Filed under: uncultured bacterium
Lineage: Bacteria
Description: partial 16S ribosomal RNA
Rfam family: Bacterial small subunit ribosomal RNA
Source: RNAcentral